GACGAACGCUGGCGGCGUGCUUAACACAUGCAAGUCGAACGGAAAGGCCCUGCUUUUGUGGGGUGCUCGAGUGGCGAACGGGUGAGUAACACGUGAGUAACCUGCCCUUGACUUUGGGAUAACUUCAGGAAACUGGGGCUAAUACCGGAUAGGAGCUCCUGCUGCAUGGUGGGGGUUGGAAAGUUUCGGCGGUUGGGGAUGGACUCGCGGCUUAUCAGCUUGUUGGUGGGGUAGUGGCUUACCAAGGCUUUGACGGGUAGCCGGCCUGAGAGGGUGACCGGCCACAUUGGGACUGCGGUACGGCCCAGACUCCUACGGGACGCAGCAGUGGAGAGUAUUGCCCAAUGGGCGGAAGCCUGAUGCAGCGACGCCGCGUGCGGGAUGACGGCCUUCGGGUUGUAAACCGCUUUCGCCUGUGACGAAGCGUGAGUGACGGUAAUGGGUAAAGAAGCACCGGCUAACUACGUG
This 468-nucleotide ribosomal RNA is filed under the name uncultured bacterium. RNAcentral describes it as "partial 16S ribosomal RNA". It matches the Rfam family "Bacterial small subunit ribosomal RNA", at positions 28 to 507 of the family's 1533-position model. The record is from RNAcentral.